CUAGGGGCCUGGACCGUUGAGGCGCACUACUGAGGGAGAUCUGCUGCUGACGAACACAACGUGCUCUGCCUAUCCACUCUUCCAAGAGUACGUGCACUUGCCACAGUGGUAUUCACUUUACAAGAGUGCUAAACACUCAAGUGUGUAUCUUUUGUUGGUGAAAAGCCUGCUUUGCCUUCAGCAUAUUAUUGUUGUGUCUGAGGACCGCGGAGUGGAGAUGACAUUGUGUUUGGAGCUGAUGUGAGAUUUAUCAGCGGGGCCGUGAAUGAAACAGUUUGGCAGGGAUGACUACAUUCUUUGGGAGUCAUGACGUGAUCCAAGAAGUCUGAUAUGCAUUCGUGGCACCUCGCUCUGAUUUAAUAACAGUGAGAACUUGUCUUCGCUCUCUCUCUCUGUUUUUCCUGCAUCUGCCUCUGUGCCAGAGAGUGUGCAGUAAAUGGCAACACCAAUUCACCUGGACUUCACUAGCUUGUAAUGGGCGCAUUACGCUCCAGCCCCCCCAUCCAGUGCCUAUCAUAGGGGACAGAGGUCACCUCUCUCCUCCUUGCUCCUGAUUGAAGGCAUUUAUGCCAAUUUUGGGAAACAGCCUUUCUAGGCUAAUGACCCCAACAACCUUGGACUUUUCUCCUGGUUGGCCUUGGUGACCAAACUGCCUGAGGUCACCGUCUCUUUAUGGGUGCUCUCUCCCUUUUGGAUCUACUGAAUUGAGAAGCAUUUGCAUUUCGCUUUGUGGCAUCUCUGUAUUCCAAUGAAAUACACACAGCUGGUCUUUGUUAUGCAUAUUUAUCAUGGAUAUGUGUGUAAUUGUGUUGCCUUACAUUGUUUGUAACAAUUACAAUCUUCCAUUCUGAAGAGAAUGAGCAUCUGAAUACCCAAAUGUGUGAAUAUCUAGAUAUUUGUAAUGUUUAAUCUAACCUAAAGAAAUGGCUACAAAUGAUUGUGGGAUUACUUUGCUAUAUACACCAACCAAAAAAACGCUUAGAAUGAGACGAAUCAAUGUCCAGCAUUUAUUUCAGUUUCUUUCCUCUCUGAAAGUAAAAUGGGUUCUUAACUUUCUCCAUUAAAUAUAAUUGCAGUUCUUCUAGUUUCAUAAAAGUAAUGAUGAAAAGAGGCCCGUGGUUAAGAUUUGAGUUGAAGUAAAUGAUGGGGCAGGAGUUUGCUUGUAGGGCCCCAUCAUCACGGCGAUUAGCUUCUGUUUGCAGGACAGAAGCCACAGACCAUUACUGCUGCACCAUCUUCUGUUGUGUUUGAAGUGCGAAAGCAUGUUUUCAGUGUCAUCUAUAUUUUUAUUUACGAUUUCAUAAUCCGAAGUUGUGAAAAGUUCAAUUGUAAACUUUUUAUUUGAUAUUUUUAUGGUUUUAAUUAGCUUUGAUUGAAUGUAAAUUUUAACUUUUUAAAUUGAAUUACACAAAUAAUUGGAAUGCUUAGUUUCAUUAAUUUUCAUUUGAUUUAUAAAUACAUCGCUCUUAAAGAGUAUUGAAUGUAAAAAUGUUGUUACGAAUUAAAAAAAAUGAGUUUUUGUGAGCUCUAGUAAUAGACAAUGGGUGAAACCUUGCAUUCGCAAGAACACAAUGUAAAUGUAAAUAUUUUUGUAAUAUUGAUUUUAUUUAAAUGUAUUAGAUGUAUUAAAUGCACUAGGUUUGUGGUAGUAACUGUAACUGAUAUUGCUUAAAUUCACACAGAUGUAUGAAAAGGCACAGUUGUGGGAAAUUUUAACCUGAAAAACUGUUCCCUGUGUAUCUUGCCUUUACAAACCCCCACACCCCCCCCCCCCCCAAAACUCUGCCCUCCUCACUCUUUCUCAGACAUGGCAUCAUUAAAAGAACCUAUUGCUCCCGCUGUGAGAUUAUGAAGUUAAUUAUUUUAAGAUCAAACGACCAGCGGUUACAAUGAAGCCCAUUGCAAAAAAACUUCUGAGGUCUCCCCCCCAAACCACCGUCAUCACCUCCCCUUUCCUCUCAAAUUAAAGCACAGUGGGGAUCUCUCCACACCUCUCAGGUGAAUUCCCCCAGUGGCCUACAUCCUCCCAUUAGUAGCCUUUUAGCUGCAGGCUAAGGUAGGGCUACUAAUUGGCCUCGGGAACAAAACUAGCCCUCUGACAGGCUCAGACUCGCAGGAAGCUAAAAAUGCCCAAAUUGCCCCAAUCCCGGGAAGCUGCUGUUUGCCAGAGGCUGGCUGGACCAUUCCACCAACACUUUAGUUUCAUAACUACAAUGUUACAGUUGAAUUCUCUGUGAGUUGUGGAGUUGUCAAAAAUCUUCAGGAUAUUUUAAAAUUGUAUUCUGUAAUGCUUGACCUCACUUGAUGCAAAGGGUCUUUUAAUAGUGUAUAAUAUUGUAGUCUCUUCAUAUGUAAUUUCACAAAUAGAAGAUGUGCUUAAAGAUCAAUGGGUAAAUAACAAAAGUUUGUCCUGCCAUUGUGAU
Triplophysa dalaica is the source of this 2423-nucleotide long non-coding RNA. RefSeq lists it as uncharacterized. The record is from RefSeq and is a predicted model, not a curated record. The transcript is spliced from 3 exons. Lineage: Eukaryota; Metazoa; Chordata; Actinopteri; Cypriniformes; Nemacheilidae.